RNAcentral lists this long non-coding RNA (290 nucleotides) under Elaeis guineensis (African oil palm). RNAcentral describes it as "long non-coding RNA (EGUI_LNC048546)". Lineage: Eukaryota; Viridiplantae; Streptophyta; Magnoliopsida; Arecales; Arecaceae. The record is from RNAcentral.
AUUAGUCAUAUGCUAGAUUAGCUCAAUUCGAGUUUAUUUGUGAAUCCCAUAAAAAAAAUUUUAAUAUUUAUACUUGCUCAGGUCAGAGACUUUCUGAACUUAAUCUCACGAAUCAUAUAGGACUACUUUUUUUCUACUAAGAUUGAUAGAUUCUAUCUAGAUGCAUCCUACUCAAACAGCGAACCAUAACUUAUUAUAGCCAAUAUAUACAGCAAGAAUCCAAAUAGCUAGGGACUAAAAAAAUGUGCAGUCAAACUAAAUAGCCUCGCAGCGAAUAGCCAACACACCAC